Molecule: antisense RNA, 72 nt
Filed under: Streptomyces zhaozhouensis
Lineage: Bacteria; Bacillati; Actinomycetota; Actinomycetes; Kitasatosporales; Streptomycetaceae
Description: ASpks TB sRNA
Rfam family: ASpks TB sRNA
Source: Rfam by way of RNAcentral
CUUCACCGAGCCCAGCCACAGCGGCUCGCCGGUGCGGCCCUGGCCGUAGGUGGCCAGCAGCGCCUGCGCCUC